RNAcentral lists this ribosomal RNA (471 nucleotides) under Lodderomyces parapsilosis. RNAcentral describes it as "eukaryotic LSU rRNA". The stretch from base 133 to 286 matches the Rfam family "5.8S ribosomal RNA". Lineage: Eukaryota; Fungi; Ascomycota; Pichiomycetes; Serinales; Debaryomycetaceae. The record is from RNAcentral.
UACUGCAUUUUUUCUUACACAUGUGUUUUUCUCUUUUUGAAAACUUUGCUUUGGUAGGGAACUGUAUGGGGCCUGCCAGAGAUUAAACUCAACCAAAUUUUAUUUAAUGUCAACCGAUUAUUUAAUAGUCAAAACUUUCAACAACGGAUCUCUUGGUUCUCGCAUCGAUGAAGAACGCAGCGAAAUGCGAUAAGUAAUAUGAAUUGCAGAUAUUCGUGAAUCAUCGAAUCUUUGAACGCACAUUGCGCCCUUUGGUAUUCCAAAGGGCAUGCCUGUUUGAGCGUCAUUUCUCCCUCAAACCCUCGGGUUUGGUGUUGAGCGAUACGCUGGGUUUGCUUGAAAGAAAGGCGGAGUAUAAACUAAUGGAUAGGUUUUUUCCACUCAUUGGUACAAACUCCAAAACUUCUUCCAAAUUCGACCUCAAAUCAGGUAGGACUACCCGCUGAACUUAAGCAUAUCAAUAAGCGGAGG